GGACUCUCUGCCAUUGUCCAUGCCCUCAAUGAUGGACGUAUGACUGUUUAUGAAGAACUAUAGUAUAGUAAGGAUAUAGGGGAACUUAAUGAGGAAGGCAAAGGGA
Long non-coding RNA from Ochotona curzoniae (black-lipped pika), 106 nucleotides. RefSeq lists it as uncharacterized. NCBI's taxonomy places the organism in Eukaryota, Metazoa, Chordata, Mammalia, Lagomorpha, Ochotonidae. The transcript has 3 exons. The record is from RefSeq and is a predicted model, not a curated record.